RNAcentral lists this ribosomal RNA (600 nucleotides) under uncultured bacterium. RNAcentral's name for it is "bacterial SSU rRNA". It matches the Rfam family "Bacterial small subunit ribosomal RNA", at positions 28 to 639 of the family's 1533-position model. The record is from RNAcentral.
AAUGAACGUUGGCGGCGUGGAUUAGGCAUGCAAGUCGAGCGAGAAAUCUACUUCGGUAAAUGGACAGCGGCGAAAGGGACAGUAAUGUGUAGGUACCUACCCUCUGAUCUGGGAUAGCUGCGGGAAACUGCAGGUAAUACCGGAUAAUGUCUUCGGACCAAAGGUGUGAUUCCGUCUGAGGAGGGGCCUGCAUCCUAUUAGCUUGUUGGUGAGGUAAUGGCUCACCAAGGCAACGAUGGGUAGCGGGUGUGAGAGCAUGACCCGCGUCAUUGGGACUGAGACACUGCCCAGACAUCUACGGAUGGCUGCAGUCGAGAAUCUUCGGCAAUGGGCGAAAGCCUGACCGAGCGACGCCGCGUGCGGGAUGAAGGCCCUCGGGUUGUAAACCGCUGUCGUUGGGGAGGAAAUGCAUGAGGGCUAUCCCUCUUGUUUGACCGAUCCAAGGAGGAAGUACGGGCUAAGUUCGUGCCAGCAGCCGCGGUAAGACGAACCGUACGAACGUUACUCGGAAUUACUGGGCUUAAAGGGUGCGUAGGCUGCACGGAAAGUUGGGUGUGAAAGCCCUCAGCUCAACUGAGGAAUUGCAUCCAAAACUGCCGU